This 46-nucleotide non-coding RNA is filed under the name Schistosoma margrebowiei. Lineage: Eukaryota; Metazoa; Platyhelminthes; Trematoda; Strigeidida; Schistosomatidae. The record is from RNAcentral.
GUACUGUUGAGGAGUUCCAUACUAGGACGAAACGGCCGUCCAGUGC